CGCGCAGGCGGGUUGGUAAGUCAGAAGUGAAAUCCUACAGCUUAACUGUAGAACUGCUUUUGAUACUCCCGAUCUUGAGUAUGGAAGAGAGAGACGGAAUUCCAGGUGUAGUGGUGAAAUACGUAGAUAUCUGGAAGAACACCAGUUGCGAAGGCGGUCUCUUGGUCCAAUACUGACGCUGAGGCGCGAAAGCGUGGGUAGCAAACA
This 207-nucleotide ribosomal RNA is filed under the name uncultured bacterium. RNAcentral's name for it is "partial 16S ribosomal RNA". It matches the Rfam family "Bacterial small subunit ribosomal RNA", at positions 568 to 774 of the family's 1533-position model. The record is from RNAcentral.